GCCUUAUUAUGUGCUUAAGAUACAAUAGGUUAGAGUUUUAUCUAAAUAUCUUGAAAGCUAUAUUGUGGGCUUGGUGAGCAUUUUGUUUUCUCUUUCUCUGUUUUGGUAAAGAUUUAAAAAGGUUUUUUCAUUGCAAUUUUAAGUGGUUUUCAAUAAGUAAUAGUUUUUAUUCCAAUUUUUGGUGCUUUGGUGCAGAGGUGGGGUAGGGAAGGGUGAAUAAUUUGAGGAAUAUUCAGUGUACACUUGUAGGCCUCUACAUUGUGACUGGUAGCAGUUGUUGCCAGUUAUCACACACCAAUUUGGGGCUGUAGAAUGCAAUCUUAGUUUCUGGGUCUUGUCUAAUCUUUAUUGCCCAUAAGAAUUUGUCUCAGGAUUACUUGGUUCUUCUCAGUACUCAAGUGAGAACUUUGCUUUUCUUUGUUAGUGUAAUUUACUGAGUGCUCACAUAUUUGGGAGUAUAAGAAGGUGGGCUAUUUUUUAUACUCUGUUCCUUUUUCUCUUUUUGGUUGAAUGUAAGUGCAUUUUAAUGUUGCUUCAGUGACUGUAUAAUGUAAAAUUAUUUCUUCUUAACAAGAAACCACUUUUGUUAAUUAUUCCUUCAGUGCUUGAUUAGAUUUUUUUAAAGCAGAAUUUAUCAAAAGGAUCAACUUAAUCCACCCCUUUUACACUUUUUGUAUUUUUUUAAGUGGCUCAUCUCAACUUUAAAAAGAAUAUCUCAAUCUUUCUGCUGUAUUCCAACCAUUAAUUUGAACUUAGGGAGGUUUUUUAAUUUAAAAAAUAUUGCAAAAAUUUAGAGAUUGAAAGAGACAUAAAAUCAGAAUUCACUCAACACCAAGCAACAGUUAGUUGGUAGAAUAGGAAAAGAUGACACUAAGUAGAGACCUUUCAAAUGAUCAGUUUAGUAUUGGCCAAAUAGGCAUAAUCAUUUACCUAGUUGGGGGGUUUUUCCUUCCACUUUUGAAAUAUAUUUUUACCUACACAAUGAGUAGAGAAAGAAGGGAAAAAUAAUUAAGAAACCUCCCAGGGCCGGGGAUUUAGCUCAGUGGUUUCGCCGCCUGCUGCGCAAGCACAAGGACCCGAGUUCGAUCUCCGGUACCAAAAAAACAAAAACCAAAAAAAGAAACCUCCCUAAAUUUGUUCUUUAUUUCCUUCUACACAGGCACUGUUAUAAUAUUCAGUGGCAUGUUAAAUUGGGUUACUUCAUUUGUUUUGAGUUGGGAAUUAUUGUGUAAUUUAUUCAUGAUUCUCAUAACAUCCAGCAUAAGUGUAGCAAAAAUUACUGAUAGCAGAAGGUAAAUCAUAAUAGUGUUGAAUGUAAUUUUGAAGAAGGAGAUGGCCUUUAAGUCUGAGAGAGAACAUUUAAAUCCUUUUCAGGGAUUUGUGUAGAUAGAUGUGUGUGUGUGUGUGUGUGUGUGUGUGUUUGCGCUUGUGUGUGUAUAUAGAUAAGUGUAUAUACAUACAUGCGUCCUUCUAAUGUUGUAUAUACAUAUGCACAUUACAUACAUUUUAAUUUAUUGACAAAGAAUAACCAAAUUAAGAUUUGGAAAAGUGGGAUAUUCUUGUUUUUAAAGAGCAUGUUCAAAGCCAUCAGAUUGUGUUUAAAAUUAGCUGUAGCACAUGGAUGUUGUCCUUAUUGAGCUCUUGGCUGUUUGAAUUAUAGAAGUCUACAGUAUUUGUGUUGGCAUAGCUUUUGUAAAAAAAUUUAAACAUAUCAGGGUGGUGGAAAAAUGGGAUCUGUAUAUUUUUAUUUUGGCAUGGAUUUUUCAGUAUAUGCUAAGGGAUGGUUUGUUUUUGCUGUCGAUCUGCCACAGUAUCCUAUUUUUAAAUUUAUUUACUUUAUUUUAAGGAAUAUUGGUGUAUCAUUUUUUGAGGUAUCUUGACUUUUACACAAAGUAUAUACAUUCAGGACUUUAAAAAAUAGCAGUUCACAUUUAACAAUAGCAAUCUAUGCCGAAAUGUUUUAAGAUUUGAAUAACUUGGGUAGUAGUAAAAUGUUUUAUGUAAGAUACAAAGUAGCAAAAUAUUGUAUUACCUUAAUUGACAAUUUAUUUACUGGAGAGUAUCAGAAUGACCCAGUAGCUCCUACAGAAUGCCAUAAAUUACUUAAGCCUAAAUAUUAUCAGUUAAUCAUAACAAUGUUUGAACUUAGUUUUUAGAGCCGCAAUUUCUUCCAGCCUGAUUCCUUAGCAAGGCCUUCCUUGGCUCCACCUACUAAGCUGAUCCUAGGUUCUGCUUUAGUUGAAGAAUUAGCUCUUAUUGUCAGAUUCCUUGUCAUCAGAUCACUAUGUUUAUAUUUUAAUAUACUGUUAGGAAGUUUCUUUUCUGUUUCCAUUAAAUAUUUUUGGACAAAAAAGUGACAAACUUGAAAGUAUGUGUUCUUUUUCUUCCCCAGCAAAUCACUGAAAUACCUUGUUUGCCAAACUGUCAGCCUUUUUAAAAAUAUAAUGUGUACUGCUAUUUUUAAACCAAAAAGAGACAGCAACUAUGUGUAAUACAUUUUUCUUACCCUUUCCUUUGUCUCAAUCUGUUAUUAAUGAAAAUAAAACUGCCAGACCUAAACAAAUAUGAUUUAGAUUGCACAAAAUUUUGAAGUGUAACUCAGCUGUCUUUCACAAGAAUUGUGUUGUUAUCUACAAGACUAUUACAGUCUUUUUUCGGAGCAACUUCUAACAGCUAGUUGUGAAUGGUUUAAAAAGUAGGAGAUUACUAAAAUCCUAAUUUGGGGGGUUUUAUAAAAAGAGAAAAACAAAACAGGACCAAAGUCUAUGUGCCUUCUUCAGUAGUCUUAAUUGACCUUUUCUUCCUAUUUGAGACUAAGGUAGUAUCAGUAUUCUGAUUUUCAGGAAGUAUGUACUAUGUAGUUUUAAGAGAAUGUUAUCCCACAAACUAGUCAUACAAGCAAAUAAUUGUAACUCUGUAAAUGCAUUCUCUGUUACACUUUUGCCUUGAUCACAUAAUAUUCAUUAUAGAGCUUUUGCUGGUUCAAGAACAGAACUGCUCUAAAUCUUUGUGGUAGUCACCUUAGUUUUUGAAAUCUGAGGCAUAUGUUCCAGAGAACAGGGAUAUUUGUCUGGUCCAGUGACCUUGGUGAUAAUGGUGAUGAUUGAAAGCUGCUUAAGGCAAGCUCAACACUGUCAACAGAUUUUUGUUGUUGUUAUUUUUCACUUGUUGGAUUUAUAUAGUAGUUGUAAUAACAUAUUUAAAUAGCUAUUUUUUGGUGUCAUUUAAAAAAAAUCAUACUCUGGCCUUUUUUUCCAUUUCCAUUAUUGUUACCCAGAUCUUUAAAAAAUUCAUCCCACAUCUAGAAAGUACUAAUUAUAAAGAUUGUUGACCAGGCAAAGUUUUACAUCAAAAUGUCACCUCAUUGCUCUGACCAAAGACUGACUGUUCUGGUUUUAACUCCUCUAUCAAGCAUUUUCCCCGAGCUCCUUUCUGAAAGACCCAGUGCAAAGCGGCCUUUACUUCCUAUUUCCUAUUAGUGAAUAGACUACUUAAAGAAAUGGGAGUUUAAACAUGAACAGAAUGGACUAGGAUGACAAGAGUUUGAUGGGCAUUUUCAGUACUGUAUUCAGAAAAAAUAAAUAGCACAGCUAGGAGCCUCUGACAUUGUCUUGUGUUUUACGCGGUCUGUUCAUAAAAUUCCCUUUUUCAGUUUGUAAGAAUGUUCACCUAACAGAAGAAAAUGCUGUAAAUAUUUGUAACAACUUUUUUUUAACCAGGCCAAAAAAGAAAAAAAAGGUUUUGGGAACAAGUUAACAUAUAAAGUGGUUUUAUGUAAAACAUCAAUUGUCUUGUAUAUUUUGAUAAGCAGCAGUACCAGCUUUCAUUUGUAAUACGGUUUGUGGCAUUGGAAGAAAAGGAUUCUGUGAUCGUUGAAGUGAAUUAUGUUAUAAAUGCAAAGAGAAGAUAAAAUAUUAAAAGCAUAUUUUCUAAAUGCGUAGUGCAUGGUUAAUUCAAGCUUCUGUACUCUACAGUAUAUUCCAUUUUCCUGCAGUUUGUAUAUUUGCUAUUACUUGAUAUCUCUAAUCUCUUUUCCUAACAAUAUAGCAUUGUAGCAUGCCUUUUAAUAAAUGUCAUAACAUCUGUAGUCUCUUAAA
RNAcentral lists this long non-coding RNA (4097 nucleotides) under Heterocephalus glaber (naked mole-rat). RNAcentral's name for it is "lncRNA (ENSHGLG00100050268.1)". The record is from RNAcentral. Lineage: Eukaryota; Metazoa; Chordata; Mammalia; Rodentia; Bathyergidae.